Molecule: transfer RNA, 74 nt
Filed under: Candidozyma auris
Lineage: Eukaryota; Fungi; Ascomycota; Pichiomycetes; Serinales; Metschnikowiaceae
Description: [Candida] auris tRNA-Ile
Source: RNAcentral
CGCUAUAUCCGCGGCACAUGAUGAGCACACGAGAGAGAUGGAGAUAGGAAUUGAAAACUACAUACGAAGAAAUU